UCCUACGUGAGGCAGCAGUGGGGAAUAUUGCACAAUGGGCGCAAGCCUGAUGCAGAGACACCGCGUGAGGGAUGACGGCCUUCGGGUUGUAAACCUCUUUCAGUAGGGAAGAAGCGAAAGUGACGGUACCUGCAGAAGAAGCGCCGGCUAACUACGUGCCAGCAGCCGCGGUAAUACGUAGGGCGCAAGCGUUAUCUGGAAUUAUUGGGCGUAAAGAGCUCGUAGGCGGUUUGUCGCGUCUGCCGUGAAAGUCCGGGGCUCAACUCCGGAUCUGCGGUGGGUACGGGCAGACUAGAGUGAUGUAGGGGAGACUGGAAUUCCUGGUGUAGCGGUGAAAUGCGCAGAUAUCAGGAGGAACACCGAUGGCGAAGGCAGGUCUCUGGGCAUUAACUGACGCUGAGGAGCGAAAGCAUGGGGAGCGAACAGGAUUAGAUACCCUGGUAGUCCAUGCCGUAAACGUUGGGCACUAGGUGUGGGGGACAUUCCACGUCUUCCGGGCCGUAGCUAACGCAUAAGU
RNAcentral lists this ribosomal RNA (517 nucleotides) under uncultured Arthrobacter sp. RNAcentral describes it as "bacterial SSU rRNA". It matches the Rfam family "Bacterial small subunit ribosomal RNA", at positions 337 to 865 of the family's 1533-position model. The record is from RNAcentral. Lineage: Bacteria; Bacillati; Actinomycetota; Actinomycetes; Micrococcales; Micrococcaceae.